Molecule: transfer RNA, 75 nt
Filed under: Gammaproteobacteria bacterium HGW-Gammaproteobacteria-1
Lineage: Bacteria; Pseudomonadati; Pseudomonadota; Gammaproteobacteria
Description: tRNA-Gln
Rfam family: tRNA
About the family: Transfer RNA (tRNA) molecules are approximately 80 nucleotides in length. Their secondary structure includes four short double-helical elements and three loops (D, anti-codon, and T loops). Further hydrogen bonds mediate the characteristic L-shaped molecular structure. tRNAs have two regions of fundamental functional importance: the anti-codon, which is responsible for specific mRNA codon recognition, and the 3' end, to which the tRNAs corresponding amino acid is attached (by aminoacyl-tRNA synthetases). tRNAs cope with the degeneracy of the genetic code in two manners: having more than one tRNA (with a specific anti-codon) for a particular amino acid; and 'wobble' base-pairing, i.e. permitting non-standard base-pairing at the 3rd anti-codon position.
Source: RNAcentral
AGGGGUGUCGCCAAGCGGUAAGGCAACGGAUUUUGAUUCCGUCAUUCGCAGGUUCGAGUCCUGCCACCUCUGCCA